AGUUUGAUCCUGGCUCAGAGUGAACGCUGGCGGUAGGCCUAACACAUGCAAGUCGAACGGCAGCACAGUAAGAGCUUGCUCUUAUGGGUGGCGAGUGGCGGACGGGUGAGGAAUACAUCGGAAUCUACUCUUUCGUGGGGGAUAACGUAGGGAAACUUACGCUAAUACCGCAUACGACCUACGGGUGAAAGCGGAGGACCUUCGGGCUUCGCGCGGUUGAAUGAGCCGAUGUCGGAUUAGCUAGUUGGCGGGGUAAAGGCCCACCAAGGCGACGAUCCGUAGCUGGUCUGAGAGGAUGAUCAGCCACAUUGGGACUGAGACACGGCCCAAACUCCUACGGGAGGCAGCAGUGGGGAAUAUUGGACAAUGGGCGCAAGCCUGAUCCAGCCAUGCCGCGUGAGUGAUGAAGGCCUUAGGGUUGUAAAGCUCUUUCACCGGUGAAGAUAAUGACGGUAACCGGAGAAGAAGCCCCGGCUAACUUCGUGCCAGCAGCCGCGGUAA
RNAcentral lists this ribosomal RNA (501 nucleotides) under uncultured bacterium. Its description in RNAcentral is "bacterial SSU rRNA". It matches the Rfam family "Bacterial small subunit ribosomal RNA", at positions 10 to 523 of the family's 1533-position model. The record is from RNAcentral.